Molecule: ribosomal RNA, 980 nt
Filed under: Salmonella enterica
Lineage: Bacteria; Pseudomonadati; Pseudomonadota; Gammaproteobacteria; Enterobacterales; Enterobacteriaceae
Description: bacterial SSU rRNA
Rfam family: Bacterial small subunit ribosomal RNA
Source: RNAcentral
AAAUUGAAGAGUUUGAUCAUGGCUCAGAUUGAACGCUGGCGGCAGGCCUAACACAUGCAAGUCGAACGGUAACAGGAAGCAGCUUGCUGCUUUGCUGACGAGUGGCGGACGGGUGAGUAAUGUCUGGGAAACUGCCUGAUGGAGGGGGAUAACUACUGGAAACGGUGGCUAAUACCGCAUGACGUCGCAAGACCAAAGAGGGGGACCUUCGGGCCUCUUGCCAUCAGAUGUGCCCAGAUGGGAUUAGCUUGUUGGUGGGGUAACGGCUCACCAAGGCGACGAUCCCUAGCUGGUCUGAGAGGAUGACCAGCCACACUGGAACUGAGACACGGUCCAGACUCCUACGGGAGGCAGCAGUGGGGAAUAUUGCACAAUGGGCGCAAGCCUGAUGCAGCCAUGCCGCGUGUAUGAAGAAGGCCUUCGGGUUGUAAAGUACUUUCAGCGGGGAGGAAGGUGUUGCGGUUAAUAACCGCAGCAAUUGACGUUACCCGCAGAAGAAGCACCGGCUAACUCCGUGCCAGCAGCCGCGGUAAUACGGAGGGUGCAAGCGUUAAUCGGAAUUACUGGGCGUAAAGCGCACGCAGGCGGUCUGUCAAGUCGGAUGUGAAAUCCCCGGGCUCAACCUGGGAACUGCAUUCGAAACUGGCAGGCUUGAGUCUUGUAGAGGGGGGUAGAAUUCCAGGUGUAGCGGUGAAAUGCGUAGAGAUCUGGAGGAAUACCGGUGGCGAAGGCGGCCCCCUGGACAAAGACUGACGCUCAGGUGCGAAAGCGUGGGGAGCAAACAGGAUUAGAUACCCUGGUAGUCCACGCCGUAAACGAUGUCUACUUGGAGGUUGUGCCCUUGAGGCGUGGCUUCCGGAGCUAACGCGUUAAGUAGACCGCCUGGGGAGUACGGCCGCAAGGUUAAAACUCAAAUGAAUUGACGGGGGCCCGCACAAGCGGUGGAGCAUGUGGUUUAAUUCGAUGCAACGCGAAGAACC